UCUGGAAACUAGAGAUAGAAAUCUUUAGAAGAUUAUCAGAACGAACCAACAAAUAUGUACCAAACCUUUUGAGAAAUGAAUGGCAAUUUCGAGUAUCUUCAGAAGAAUUCAGUGGAAGCGUAACCAUACCGGGAUCGACGAAUGUUCUCUCGCCGUUUCUUCAACACAUAACCACCGAAUCCAACCAUACUCGCGGCUGCAAUCGAUCCAACAACAGCGAUUCCGGUUUUCUUUCCUCCUCCUCCGCCAUUUUCACCACCUACGGAUGCUUCUUCGCCUCCCGGUCU
Long non-coding RNA from Arabidopsis thaliana (thale cress), 287 nucleotides. RefSeq annotates it as other RNA. Lineage: Eukaryota; Viridiplantae; Streptophyta; Magnoliopsida; Brassicales; Brassicaceae. The record is from RefSeq. The transcript has a single exon.